Capsella rubella is the source of this 881-nucleotide long non-coding RNA. RefSeq lists it as uncharacterized. Lineage: Eukaryota; Viridiplantae; Streptophyta; Magnoliopsida; Brassicales; Brassicaceae. The record is from RefSeq and is a predicted model, not a curated record. The transcript has 2 exons.
AGAAGAAGUGAACACAUCCCCGAUCUCCUAACUACGAAAAGUUAGAAAUUGCUUCAACUACGUAUAACCAUAUUAGCAAAGGUUUUAGCCAUGAAUCUCGGUUUUGUAUCAAUGGAAUCUGUUUGGUCACUUCCAAAUUUUCUACUGUUUCUAGUACUCUGGACAUUGAUCAACAUCUAUGGCCAGCUACUUGACCACUGGAUCACUUCAUCUUACCCUAAGAUUAGGUGUUUUAUAAGGGAGCAACUUGAGGAAUCCAAACUAUUUGCAAUAAUAAGAAGGGAACAUGUCGUCAUCUGCUUGUUCAUCCUUUUUGAAAUUGCAGAUUUGGUGCGCUUGGACACUACUGUCUUCUGUCGUCAAACCAAAGCUUUUCUUGUGGAGGAGUUUGUUUGCAGAAUUUCGUGGGACACCGUUGCUUUAUUAGGAGUCAUAGCUAUCAUUCAACCAAAUAUGAUUAUAGUUAAAUCCUUCCAUGACAGUGAAACGGAGACAGAAGAUGGGAAUUUUAAUGUUUAGCUGCUUGUGGUUUGUUCUUUUGUUUAGUUUAUUUAUUGAUGUGCGUACUUUGUUUCCACUAUUAAUGACUUGAAUUGAAUAAAAUAAAAUUGAAACAUACUCUACGGUUUGUUAGCUAAGCCCUGGUUGGGAGGGUAUAAAAACAGAUUCGGAUUCGGAUCAUAUAUGUAUGUAUAUAAAGUUAAACAUUACAAAUGCAAUUUUUCUGCAAAUGGUACAAUCAAACCAACUUGGAUCGAUCAAAUCAUCCUUCUUCAUUCUUCUGCGUCCAAAAAUUUGGUAGUAACGGGCAGAGAGCUUCGGAUGAUAAAAACAACGAGCAUGCCCGAGAUGAUGCUAUAAGUAUUAAGGGGGUGGGAGGA